GUGCUGAAAAAAUACGGCUCGUGAGGCAGACAGAGCACUGCCGCAAGUCUGCUCAUCAAGAGGUCAGUGAAGCACGAGAAGCCAUUGGAGGGUUGCACACAUUGAUUGCAUACAACUAGGCAGGGGAUUUUCUUGGCUGCCUUGGACUCGAGUUGUCGCUGCCACCGUCAAGUCUAGAUUAUGACUACUCACAAUGAUCCCAGUGUUAACUUUUUGGAAAAUACAAAUGGUGUUUCCCUAUACCUUCCGUCCUAUUUGAUGUUCUAAAUGUUAUGAAGCAAAUUUGGUUGAUUUGAGUUGCCUCGCUAAGGGGGUUUAUUCAUUUACAUAUAUUUAUUGUUCCAUGUCUUAAGUUAACAAGAACUCAAGAAGUCACCCUCCGGUAGCACCACCUGUAAGUAUCCUAUCUAUAUCUUUAAAUCUAUUUUUGUUAAAGAACGUGUUAUAUACAUAGGACAUUACAAAUUCUCUUGCUUCUUUCCUGAAAAGGUACUGACGUCACUAUUUUCUUUUAUGCUUCUGGUGUACAACUACACACAUAGAGAGCUAACUUGGUAAAUAAAAUGCAGGGAAGCUGGUAAUUAAGCAAAUUAAUUCGAGCUAUUUCAAAGUGAUGCGUUACUUGCUGCAGUCUAAUUUGGAAUAUUUUUCUAAUUUGCAUUUUCCUACUGAAGAUUACUUCCCACGCACGCAACUAUUUGAAGGUAUAUCCGUAUUUAUGUUUCUUACGUAAGUCAUAUACAUGUUUAUACUGUUGGCUCAAUCCCUUUACUUCCCACGCACGCGUGCGGGGAGUUUACACGUCGAGGAAAGGUCUGGUUGAACCAUCACGACGACGGCAGAUCCCCCUUUACGUAACUUGCACUGGUGCAUCCACCGACAACAGCCAACAUUGGUGGCUCCAAAGAGAAAUCCCUUCCUGUGGCGGCGACGACGACGACGACGACGGCGUCAGUCUGUUCACUGUUGCGCACCUCUGACUCCUUGCAUUCCCCUAUUCCAUUAGUAUUUCCCCUCCUCUCUCUUCAAUACCGUUGAUUGAUUAGUUCUUAAUGCACUACACCUCAUUGCUUCCGUCGGUAACUGACCCACAUGUAGGCCCGAACUCCAGAAACUUCAAAUGAUGAUGCUUUCAUAUCCAUCCCUCACGUACCAUAUAGAUCUCCACAUUGCUGGUCACUUUGGAUGGUGCGUUAAGCCCUUGCUAUUGCAAAUCAGGUCCACCUAGCCCUAGCUACAGUUCAACAAGUUGAAUAUCUAUAUAUGCUGCAGGAAAAGGUAUGUGCUGAAGAAAAUACGGCUCGCGAGGCAGGCAGAGUGCUGCCGCAAGUCUGCUCAUCAAGAGAUGGUCCUAAUUGCUCGCCUUCAACAUCCUUACACGGUCGAAUUCAAGGAGGCAUGGGUUGAGAAGGUUUGUUCUCUAGGAGCAUGCAUCAUCAUAUUAUUAUGAAUAUACUGUUGUUAU
Molecule: long non-coding RNA, 1465 nt
Organism: Hordeum vulgare subsp. vulgare (domesticated barley)
Lineage: Eukaryota; Viridiplantae; Streptophyta; Magnoliopsida; Poales; Poaceae
Exons: 4
Source: RefSeq, a predicted model, not a curated record